GCGUAGGAAUCUACCCAGUAGCGGGGGAUAGCCCGGGGAAACCCGGAUUAAUACCGCAUACGCCCCAUGGGGGAAAGAGGGCCUCUUCUUGAAAGCUCUCACUAUUGGAGGAGCCUGCGUUGGAUUAGCUAGUUGGUGGGGUAAAGGCUCACCAAGGCGACGAUCCAUAGCUGGUCUGAGAGGACGAUCAGCCACACUGGAACUGAGACACGGUCCAGACUCCUACGGGAGGCAGCAGUCAGGAAUAUUGUGCAAUGGGGGAAACCCUGACACAGCCAUGCCGCGUGUGUGAAGAAGGCC
RNAcentral lists this ribosomal RNA (300 nucleotides) under uncultured Candidatus Portiera sp. RNAcentral's name for it is "bacterial SSU rRNA". It matches the Rfam family "Bacterial small subunit ribosomal RNA", at positions 115 to 416 of the family's 1533-position model. Lineage: Bacteria; Pseudomonadati; Pseudomonadota; Gammaproteobacteria; Johnevansiales (SeqCode); Johnevansiaceae (SeqCode). The record is from RNAcentral.